CCCUGAUUUAGCGGCGGACGGGUGAGUAAUGCCUAGGAAUCUGCCUGGUAGUGGGGGAUAACGUUCCGAAAGGAACGCUAAUACCGCAUACGUCCUACGGGAGAAAGCAGGGGACCUUCGGGCCUUGCGCUAUCAGAUGAGCCUAGGUCGGAUUAGCUAGUUGGUGAGGUAAUGGCUCACCAAGGCGACGAUCCGUAACUGGUCUGAGAGGAUGAUCAGUCACACUGGAACUGAGACACGGUCCAGACUCCUACGGGAGGCAGCAGUGGGGAAUAUUGGACAAUGGGCGAAAGCCUGAUCCAGCCAUGCCGCGUGUGUGAAGAAGGUCUUCGGAUUGUAAAGCACUUUAAGUUGGGAGGAAGGGCAGUAAGCUAAUACCUUGCUGUUUUGACGUUACCGACAGAAUAAGCAC
This 412-nucleotide ribosomal RNA is filed under the name uncultured bacterium. RNAcentral describes it as "bacterial SSU rRNA". It matches the Rfam family "Bacterial small subunit ribosomal RNA", at positions 85 to 493 of the family's 1533-position model. The record is from RNAcentral.